CUCAUUCUCUUUUUAAUUGUUCCGUUUCUCUACUUAAUUAUGUUUAAUUCAGUUUCAUUCUCUCUCUUUCGUUUUUCAGUUGUGGUAAGUAUCUUUUAUAAGUAUUUGGUUGUAAUCUUUGUUUAAAAAAAUAGUACAGUUAAUUUUAUUUAAUGAAUCUUGGGUUUAAUUUUAGUUAGAUUUGCCCAUUAACAUUGAUUUCAAGUUUGAUUCUUUUUUUGUUGCCUGCUAAUUGUUAUACAUAAUGCUUCAACUAGAAAAUGAGGUAUGCAUUAUCACAGGGAUGGAAACUCAAAGGAGCAUGAUCAUCUAAAAAUGGAUACUUCACACAAGGAUCACAUUAGAGAGCAUGAGGAAGAAGUAAAACUUCUUCAGAACCUAUCACAUCCAAACACUAAGCUAAGAUGGAGGAUGCGUCAAGUCCAUGGAGGGAGUGUUGGUGAACAUAGUUCUAAAGCAAGGCAGCUUUAUAUGACAAUGUCACUUAAGCUAAAACGUCUAUUGGUCACAUAUAGAAGAUGGUUUUGAAUUGGUUAUCUCUUU
Non-coding RNA from Camellia sinensis, 543 nucleotides. The record is from RefSeq and is a predicted model, not a curated record. NCBI's taxonomy places the organism in Eukaryota, Viridiplantae, Streptophyta, Magnoliopsida, Ericales, Theaceae.